Molecule: long non-coding RNA, 976 nt
Filed under: Fragaria vesca (wild strawberry)
Lineage: Eukaryota; Viridiplantae; Streptophyta; Magnoliopsida; Rosales; Rosaceae
Description: long non-coding RNA (FVES_LNC002508)
Source: RNAcentral
CGUUCUCAAAAGUCGAAACGUUUCUUCGCUGGCUUCAAAUCAAACUAGGUUUUCUGAGCCUCCUUUGAUUCUCAGUCUUUAGGGCUUUUGUUCAAUUUCACUGGAUCACUUCAGGUCCUUCCUUCUUUUUUCUGUAUGGACUUUUUUUUGUUGUUGAUUUUUUAGAUCCAUCUAAGGGCUCUGAUCUUGGUACUAGUUUGAUUAUUCUUUGACGUUUUGAAUUUGGAAUCACUGAUUGUUGUGUUGCAAUUAAUUAUCGUUCUGAAAUUGUAUUGCUGCAAUCAGAUUCGAAUUCAUUUUUUGUUUUUUUUGUUUUUGCUUUUAGUAUUUGACUUUGGUGAUUUUAAGGAUUCAGAAUGUAAAUCCAGUUCUAACAACUUGAUUUUAGACAAGUUAAUUAUUAUGUGAAUAAUUAUGGUUUCUGAUUUAACUGUUGAAUUUCAUGAUAGACUCGUAUAAUUGAAACUGAGAAAUUACUCUUCAUUUUAAUGGUUUUGGCUUCAGUCUGUAUGAUUUGUUAGAAUUCGUACUCAUGGUGCUGUCUUCUUUGCAGGUUUUAUAUUCAGAUUCACCGUAUUUGGGUAGUCAAACUCAUCUACAGAACUUUCAAGCUCACCUCACAAAAUUACUGAAUACAACUAGUGGUAGAAUAGAUGUGUGAGUGAUUUUAUAUUAUUUUAUAUUUUUUUAAAUUUACUUCAUAUCAGUGUAUUACAUAGAGAUUUUUCACUGAGGGUGUGUUUUGAUUGUUUCAGGAUCGAUACAGUUAAUUGGUAGGAGAAACAAAUAGAGGUAGUUUCUCUUGAUUGGUGUUUUUCUUCCUGCAUUUGAUAAUUUUUAAUUCUUAUCUUCUUUAGUGGGUUCUGUUUCAGUCAUUGCAAGAAGAAUUACCAUUUUCUGGUUACUCGCACAUAUACGUUGUUCAGAAACAUGACUUGUACGAUAUGUCCUGCUACUACAGAAUACGGUACGGUUU